AGGUGUGUAUAAAGUGGCGAACGGCUGAGUAACGCGUGGGCAACCUGCCCUCCUCUUGGGGAUAGCCUCGGGAAACCGAGGAUAAUACCCGAUACUUCAAUGUGGCCGCAUGACGACAUUGAGAAAGCUUUUGCGGAGAAGGAUGGGCCCGCGGCCUGUUAGCUUGUUGGUGGGGUAGAGGCCUACCAAGGCAAUGAUGGGUAGCUGGGUUGAGAGACCGACCAGCCAGAUUGGGACUGAGACGCGGCCCAGACUCCUACGGGAGGCAGCAGUGGGGAAUCUUGCACAAUGGGCGAAAGCCUGAUGCAGCGACGCCGCGUGCGGGACGAAGGCCUUCGGGUUGUAAACCGCUUUCAGCAGGGACGAGGCGAAAGUGACGGUACCUGCAGAAGAAGCCCCGGCUAACUACGUGCCAGCAGCCGCGGUAAUAGGUAGGGGGCAAGCGUUAUCCGGAUUCAUUGGGCGUAAAGCGCUCGUAGGCGGUCUGUUAGGUCGGGAGUUAAAUCCGGAGGCUCAACCUCCGCCCGCUCCCGAUACCGGCAGACUUGAGUUUGGUAGGGGAAGGUGGAAUUCCUAGUGUAGCGGUGGAAUGCGCAGAUAUUAGGAAGAACACCAGUGGCGAAGGCGGCCUUCUGGGCCAUGACUGGCGCUGAGGAGCGAAA
Molecule: ribosomal RNA, 662 nt
Filed under: uncultured Actinomycetes bacterium
Lineage: Bacteria; Bacillati; Actinomycetota; Actinomycetes
Description: bacterial SSU rRNA
Rfam family: Bacterial small subunit ribosomal RNA
Source: RNAcentral